UGAGUAACCUGCCCUUAACUCUGGGAUAAGCCUGGGAAACUGGGUCUAAUACCGGAUAUGACUCCUCAUCGCAUGGUGGGGGGUGGAAAGCUUUAUUGUGGUUUUGGAUGGACUCGCGGCCUAUCAGCUUGUUGGUGAGGUAAUGGCUCACCAAGGCGACGACGGGUAGCCGGCCUGAGAGGGUGACCAGCCACACUGGGACUGAGACACGGCCCAGACUCCUACGGGAGCAG
Molecule: ribosomal RNA, 233 nt
Filed under: uncultured bacterium
Lineage: Bacteria
Description: partial 16S ribosomal RNA
Rfam family: Bacterial small subunit ribosomal RNA
Source: RNAcentral